UACGAAGGGGGCGAGCGUUAUUCGGAAUCACUGGGCGUAAAGCGUGCGUAGGCUGCUCGGAAAGUUGGGAGUGAAAGCCCAGGGCUCAACCCUGGAAUUGCUCUCAAAACUACCGGGCUCGGAUUCGGGAGAGGAUAGCGGAAUUGUCAGUGUAGCAGUGAAAUGCGUAGAUAUUGACAGGAACACCAGUGGCGCAAGCGGCUAUCUGGACCGACAUCGACGCUGAGGCACGAAAGCGUGGGGAUCAAAC
Molecule: ribosomal RNA, 250 nt
Filed under: uncultured bacterium
Lineage: Bacteria
Description: partial 16S ribosomal RNA
Rfam family: Bacterial small subunit ribosomal RNA
Source: RNAcentral